Molecule: non-coding RNA, 406 nt
Organism: Schizosaccharomyces pombe (fission yeast)
Lineage: Eukaryota; Fungi; Ascomycota; Schizosaccharomycetes; Schizosaccharomycetales; Schizosaccharomycetaceae
Source: the annotation of a GenBank genome assembly
ACCUAUUAGCGUUAGAAGGUUGCUCCGAUAAAAUGAAGAAUGACAAAGAGAAGUAAAAACAAGAUUCAAUCGAAUAACCAUUGCGAUAAUAAUUCGUUGCAUUGAUCAGCAUAAUCCUAAACCAUCAUUUGAACUUACAAUUUCAGCGGCAGCUUUACAUUUUUCUAAAACAACUUCCUUGACGCUUCCUUGGAUUUCCGGUACUUUAAAACAUCAUGUUAGCGAUAAUUUGCUGUCGAGAAAAUUGAAUAGCUGCAUACAAUCGUAAUCAUGGUUUUUGAUUUCAAAUCGGUCACCAAGGAUAUUCUUUACAUCUGCCAGUUUAUGUUUAUUUCCUGUGACGAAUAAAAUAGACUGUAGUACUAUGGGACAGCAAUCUUGUUAGUUAUCAUUCCGCUGAAAAAUA